UGAGGAAUCUUGCGCAAUGGGCGAAAGCCUGACGCAGCGACGCCGCGUGGAGGAUGAAGGUCUUCGGAUUGUAAACUCCUGUCGAGUGGGACGAAUGCCGUGAGGGUGAAUACCCCUUGCGGUUGACGGUACCGCUGGAGGAAGCCCCGGCUAACUCCGUGCCAGCAGCCGCGGUAAUACGGAGGGGGCUAGCGUUGUUCGGAAUCAUUGGGCGUAAAGGGCGCGUAGGCGGCCGAUCAAGUCGGAGGUGAAAUCCCUCGGCUCAACUGAGGAAUUGCCUUCGAUACUGUUCGGCUUGAGUCCUGGAGAGGGUAGCGGAAUUCCCGGUGUAGCGGUGAAAUGCGUAGAGACCGGGAAGAACACCAGUGGCGAAGGCGGCUACCUGGACAGGUACUGACGCUGAAGCGCGAAAGCUAGGGGAGCAAACAGGAUUAGAUACCCUGGUAGUCCUAGCUGUAAACGAUGGGUACUAGGUGUGGGGGGAUCGACCCCUCCCGUGCCGCAGUUAACGCAUUAAGUGCCCCGCCUGGGGAGUACGGUCGCAAGACUA
RNAcentral lists this ribosomal RNA (550 nucleotides) under uncultured bacterium. Its description in RNAcentral is "bacterial SSU rRNA". It matches the Rfam family "Bacterial small subunit ribosomal RNA", at positions 355 to 896 of the family's 1533-position model. The record is from RNAcentral.